GUAGGGUGCAAGCGUUAAUCGGAAUUACUGGGCGUAAAGCGUGCGCAGGCGGUUUUGUAAGUCUGUCGUGAAAGCCCCGGGGCUCAACCUGGGAAUUGCGAUGGAGACUGCAAGGCUUGAAUCUGGCAGAGGGGGGUAGAAUUCCACGUGUAGCAGUGAAAUGCGUAGAGAUGUGGAGGAACACCGAUGGCGAAGGCAGCCCCCUGGGUCAAGAUUGACGCUCAUGCACGAAAGCGUGGGGAGCAAACAGGAUUAGAUACCCUGGUAGUCCACGCCCUAAACGAUGUCUACUAGUUGUCGGGUUUUAAUUAACUUGGUAACGCAGCUAACGCGUGAAGUAGACCGCCUGGGGAGUACGGUCGCAAAGAUUAA
RNAcentral lists this ribosomal RNA (372 nucleotides) under uncultured organism. RNAcentral's name for it is "partial 16S ribosomal RNA". It matches the Rfam family "Bacterial small subunit ribosomal RNA", at positions 527 to 897 of the family's 1533-position model. The record is from RNAcentral.